AUUUCUUUACCGAAAAAGUAGUAACUCUUUGGUGUAUUUUUACUGAUUUUGAUUUUAUUUUACCGACUAAUAUUUUGAUUAGAGUUUCGAUUGUAGUAACAAUGACUUAGGGAUUUUAAAAUUGAAAGUACUUAGAAUAAAAUUCAUGACUACUAUGGUAUUUGCGUAACAACUUAAAAAAAAUAGGACUUGUCUGUUAAAUACUUUAUCUUUGUUUGAAUUUGUCGGCUUGUAAUCUAUAUAUUGAUAUAAAGGAGGGACUAGAAGAGGUGAUGUGUCAUAUCUCUUUGACUACGAAUCAUCAUUUAUCUAUUUCCUCAUUUUUAGGCUUUUCAGAAAAUUAAAUUUAUCUAUUACUUAAAAAAAGGUCUCUUCAAAAGUCGCUUCCCCUCGCUGAAAAGUCACUCUCUACUACCUUGUCCGAUAAUUAUAUGUUCCACUGUAUCUCUCCCUCUCAUACCGGGCAAUGUGAUUAUUAAGUAAUGUGAUAAAGAAAAAGAAAAGGAUGCAAAGCGGAGGAGAUGAAGUUACCAUUAAAGAAUUGGUUUCAAAUCUCUACUUACAGAAAAUAACUUAUGAUGUAAGGAAACUAAAGGCAGAAGUGAAGUUUCUAUUAUGCACUCUUCCUGAAACUCCGAGAACUACUGCUCACUGAGUUAAAGUUGCACAUCUGAUCAAAUGGCAUGAGUUUUUAGGUUUUGGACAGAGGACGAUAGCUGCACCAAAGCGACGACGGGACUGAGACAAAGUCACAGAUGCGGGAUAAAGACUUAGACGAGAAAUAUGAGAGGAUAAUGACUUAUUUAAUGAUUCCAGUGAUGUUUCCCAAUUUGGACUGCUCACCGAACUGCUUUUUUACAUGGUUACUUGAGCACAAGCUUUCCAUCGAAGAUAUUCACAGAAAAAUUGAUGUGCAUGGUCCAUCUAGAUGCUUCUGUUGUAAUGAAUACUCUGAAGAGACCUUCAAUCGUUUAUUUUGCAUUGGUGAACUUGCAACUAAAGUCUAUACUUAUUUUUGCAAAAGUGCAGGUUUCACUUUUAAUGCCUCAUACUACUAAAAACAUGUUCAUGCAUUUGUGGCAGUAACGCAAAAAUUAAGCUGCAAUCUUUCAUUUUUCAAUGCUUGCCUUCUGUCGUAUGUUGGGAAUUGGGAGAUGCAAUCAUACAAAUGCACCUAGAGAUUUGAUGCCAUCAGAACAUCUUUUUGAAGAGUCACUGAACAGUGCAAUUAUCUUAUGAAGCUCAUGAUCAAUGCUCAGUUUCCUAUAUUCUCUUCCUCUGCCACAUGAUUGGAGCUUUGUGAUUUUGCUGACAGAGAGAAGCACCAGCUGAAUACCACUGUUAAAUGCGAAAAUAGUAUUGGGUCAUCUUCCAAUUCAACCUGUAACUCAUAUAAGAUGUCUGCUUUCGGCUUUAUUUUUAGUAAAAGUGCUGUUAAGCUCA
Nicotiana tabacum (common tobacco) is the source of this 1443-nucleotide long non-coding RNA. RefSeq lists it as uncharacterized. Lineage: Eukaryota; Viridiplantae; Streptophyta; Magnoliopsida; Solanales; Solanaceae. The record is from RefSeq and is a predicted model, not a curated record.